GUCCGUAGGCGGCUUAAUAAGUCAGUGGUGAAAUCCCUACGCUUAACGUAGGAACGGCCAUUGAUACUGUUAGGCUUGAAUUAUUAGGAAGUAACUAGAAUAUGUAGUGUAGCGGUGAAAUGCUUAGAGAUUACAUGGAAUACCAAUUGCGAAGGCAGGUUACUACUAAUGGAUUGACGCUGAUGGACGAAAGCGUGGGUAGCGAACAGGAUUAGAUACCCUGGUAGUCCACGCCGUAAACGAUGGAUACUAGCUGUUGGGAGCAAUCUCAGUGGCUAAGCGAAAGUGAUAAGUAUCCCACCUGGGGAGUACGUUCGCAAGAAUGAAACUCAAAGGAAUUGACGGGGGCCCGCACAAGCGGUGGAGCAUGUGGUUUAAUUCGAUGAUACGCGAGGAACCUUACCAAGGCUUAAAUGUAGAUUGACCGAUUUGGAAACAGAUUUUUCGCAAGACAAUUUACAAGGUGCUGCAUGGUUGUCGUCAGCUCGUGCCGUGAGGUGUCAGGUUAAGUCCUAUAACGAGCGCAACCCCUGUUGUUAGUUGCCAGCGAGUCAAGUCGGGAACUCUAACAAGACUGCCAGUGCAAACUGUGAGGAAGGUGGGGAUGACGUCAAAUCAUCACGGCCCUUACGCCUUGGGCUACACACGUGCUACAAUGGACGGUACAGAGAGCAGCCACUACGUGAGUAGGAGCGAAUCUACA
Molecule: ribosomal RNA, 703 nt
Filed under: uncultured Flavobacterium sp.
Lineage: Bacteria; Pseudomonadati; Bacteroidota; Flavobacteriia; Flavobacteriales; Flavobacteriaceae
Description: bacterial SSU rRNA
Rfam family: Bacterial small subunit ribosomal RNA
Source: RNAcentral